Molecule: long non-coding RNA, 1923 nt
Filed under: Homo sapiens (human)
Lineage: Eukaryota; Metazoa; Chordata; Mammalia; Primates; Hominidae
Description: PREDICTED lncRNA (TCONS_00027008)
Source: RNAcentral
ACAUAGGUCCCCAGAGAAUUUCAAUAUGUCUGAUGUCAAGAACGGAAAGUGAGACAGCCAGGUGGGAGGGGGUCCCUGGAGAAUCUCCAACCAGCCUGCGCACUGGGAAUGCGCACUGGAGUGAAAAUACAGAAGUUGGUGCCCUUUGCAGCAGCCAGGAGUCCGACUCCUCCUCUUCCUGUGUGGAACCUGGAAUUCAAACGGCUGGGGCCUCACUCACGGCAUAUGGAACUAACCACGCCCCUAACUAAGAAGGCACACCUUAGUUGCAGUUAGCACACAAUUAAAGCAACUCUCCAAGUUUUACCUUAAAGUUCAAAAUUGCUAGGAGUUGAAACUACUAGAAAUAUAUUUACAUGCAAGAGUCAAAGAAACUUUGAACUAUUUAUGGCCUUUAAUAAUUAAGUAAGGUAUACUCCUGUGAUCAAGACUUGGAGCAUAUUUGUUUCUCUCUGCCUGGUUCCUCUAGAAAUUGGAAACUAUCAGGGAGAGAUGAUGACAGCCUGAACAAGGAUGACAAUAAUGGAAACAGAGACAAAAGGACAGAGGUGGAACAGAGACCAACUCCGUUUCCCGAUCCCUUUGCAAUCUGCAUUGAACCAUGAGUCAAGUUCUUGAUAAAGGAGUGAAAAUGGAUGACAUUUAAGGCACAUCUGAAGAUGGGGAAACCACAGCACAGAAUAAGGCUGGGCCCUUGAAUCAAUAAAUGAAGGAGAACUACUCAAGAGAACAAAACCACCAGCAAUAUCCACCUGUAUUUGUCUUUUCAUAAUGUGUGACACAUGUGCUCAUGGAUUAUUGUCCGAAGCAAGACAUGUGACCAAGCCUAACAUCAACUGGGUGAAGAGCUAUAUGUUCCUUUCUCAAGAGGCACUACAAGUGACAUGCCACUGGGCAGGAUUUUUAUUUCAUUUGCAAUGAAUGAAGAAGCACAGCUCUGAAAGACUGAAUUCCCAGCACUGGGUGUCAGCUCUACCAAAUGCGGUACAGAUUGCAAUCUGACCACAGAAUCUCACCACAAAGAAUGCCGGGGUCUCCUCUGAUUAUAGCUACUGGCUAUAAGUUCUAACUAGGGUUUAAUGCAAAUUUUCCCUGUAGUCUGCUUGGGGAGUUGGCCUCAUUCUUGAAUUUUUCUCAGAAAGUUAUUGCCAAAAAUGUGAGUUCUCACCGCAGUGAAAGAGGAAAUCCAGCUAUGAGCAUAUAUAAUACAGGAGAAAGAAUGCAGAGAAAACACAUUCUUUUCUUGCUACUCAGUUGCCAGAGAAGUAUAUCUAUAAUAUUUUCAGUUGUGAUGCUAUGUCCCAUUGAAUUCAACCACACAUUGGAAAAAUCAGUUUACCCUAGAAUCUAGUUAUUGUUGUGGUACAGUUUAAUUUUUGUCAAAUAAUUCUUUCUAAAAUUUCUAAUGUAAGUCUUUAAUUUUCAAGAUAUUUUGCUUAGAAGAUGAUAUGGUUUGGCUGUGUCCCCACCCAAAUCUCACCUUGAAUUCCCAGGUGUUGUAGGGGGCAGGUCUUUCCUGUGCUGUUCUUGUGAAAGUGAGUAAGUCUCAUGAGAUCUGAAGGCUUUGAAAAACAGGAAUCUCCCUGUACAAGCUCUCUCUUUGCCUGCUGCCAUCCAUGUAAGACGUGACUUGCUCCUUCUUGUCUUCUGCCAUAAUUGUGAGUCUUCCCCAGCCAUGUGGAACUGUCUUGGUUGGAGUCCAGGUAUCUGCAAAUUAAAUAAGCACUUGAAGUGAUAGUAUCUGAGUGUCCGUAGGCAAAUGUUAGGAGAACUGAAUCAGAUGUUCUUUGAAAGAUUUUCAUGGUUCUAAAAUGUUCUGAUUUAAAAUCCACAAAGAAAAAAAGCAUUGAAAAUGAAUCAGCAAACUAGAUGUAAUUAAAGCUUCUUGCAAUUCCAUUAAUAAACUUUUUAGAAUGAAUUACA